AAACUUUCAACAACGGAUCUCUUGGUUCUGGCAUCGAUGAAGAACGCAGCGAAAUGCGAUAAGUAAUGUGAAUUGCAGAAUUCAGUGAAUCAUCGAAUCUUUGAACGCACAUUGCGCCCUUUGGUAUUCCUUAGGGCACACCUGUUCGAGCGUCAUUA
Molecule: ribosomal RNA, 158 nt
Filed under: Readerielliopsis guyanensis
Lineage: Eukaryota; Fungi; Ascomycota; Dothideomycetes; Capnodiales; Readerielliopsidaceae
Also listed under: 1 other name
Description: Readeriella guyanensis 5.8S ribosomal RNA
Rfam family: 5.8S ribosomal RNA
About the family: 5.8S ribosomal RNA (5.8S rRNA) is a component of the large subunit of the eukaryotic ribosome. It is transcribed by RNA polymerase I as part of the 45S precursor that also contains 18S and 28S rRNA. Functionally, it is thought that 5.8S rRNA may be involved in ribosome translocation.
Source: RNAcentral